This 67-nucleotide transfer RNA is filed under the name Rhinebothrium sp. 3 DJM-2021. Its description in RNAcentral is "tRNA-Leu". The record is from RNAcentral. Lineage: Eukaryota; Metazoa; Platyhelminthes; Cestoda; Rhinebothriidea; Rhinebothriidae.
GUAAGAAUGCCAGAGUUUGUUUAUGGGAUUGGUUUAGGACCAAUCUACGGUUUUAAACCUUCUUACU